GAGGAUGCGAGCGUUAUCCGGAUUUAUUGGGUUUAAAGGGAGCGUAGACGGGAUGUUAAGUCAGCUGUGAAAGUUUGGGGCCCAACCUUAAAAUUGCAGUUGAAACUGGCAUUCUUGAGUGCGGCAGAGGCAGGCGGAAUUCGUGGUGUAGCGGUGAAAUGCUUAGAUAUCACGAAGAACUCCUAUUGCGAAGGCAGCUUGCUGGAGCGUAACUGACGUUGAUGCUCGAAAGUGUGGGUAUCAAA
This 245-nucleotide ribosomal RNA is filed under the name uncultured bacterium. RNAcentral describes it as "partial 16S ribosomal RNA". It matches the Rfam family "Bacterial small subunit ribosomal RNA", at positions 528 to 772 of the family's 1533-position model. The record is from RNAcentral.